RNAcentral lists this ribosomal RNA (492 nucleotides) under uncultured bacterium. RNAcentral's name for it is "partial 16S ribosomal RNA". It matches the Rfam family "Bacterial small subunit ribosomal RNA", at positions 29 to 507 of the family's 1533-position model. The record is from RNAcentral.
AGUGAACGCUGGCGGUAGGCCUAACACAUGCAAGUCGAACGGCAGCACAGUAAGAGCUUGCUCUUACGGGUGGCGAGUGGCGGACGGGUGAGGAAUACAUCGGAAUCUACUUUUUCGUGGGGGAUAACGUAGGGAAACUUACGCUAAUACCGCAUACGACCUCCGGGUGAAAGCAGGGGAUCUUCGGACCUUGCGCGAUUGAUUGAGCCGAUGUCGGAUUAGCUAGUUGGCGGGGUAAAGGCCCACCAAGGCGACGAUCCGUAGCUGGUCUGAGAGGAUGAUCAGCCACACUGGAACGGAGACACGGUCCAGACUCCUACGGGAGGCAGCAGUGGGGAAUAUUGGACAAUGGGCGCAAGCCUGAUCCAGCCAUACCGCGUGGGUGAAGAAGGCCUUCGGGUUGUAAGGCCCUUUUGUUGGGAAAGAAAAGCAGCAGGUUAAUACCCCGCUGUUCUGACGGUACCCAAAGAAUAAGCACCGGCUAACUUCGUG